UGCCCUGGGGAUCAGGUCUCU
This 21-nucleotide microRNA is filed under the name Mus musculus (house mouse). Its description in RNAcentral is "mmu-miR-6354". The record is from miRBase by way of RNAcentral. Lineage: Eukaryota; Metazoa; Chordata; Mammalia; Rodentia; Muridae.